RNAcentral lists this ribosomal RNA (253 nucleotides) under uncultured bacterium. RNAcentral describes it as "partial 16S ribosomal RNA". It matches the Rfam family "Bacterial small subunit ribosomal RNA", at positions 524 to 776 of the family's 1533-position model. The record is from RNAcentral.
UACAGAGGUCCCAAGCGUUGUUCGGAUUCACUGGGCGUAAAGGGUGCGUAGGUGGCUUGGUAAGUUCGAUGUGAAAUCUCCGCGCUUAACCCGGAAAUGGCAUUGAAUACUAUUGAGCUGGAGGUUUGGAGGGGGGACUGGAAUUCUCGGUGUAGCAGUGAAAUGCGUAGAUAUCGAGAGGAACACCAGUGGCGAAGGCGAGUCCCUGGACAACACCUGACACUGAGGCACGAAAGCUAGGGGAGCAAACAGG